UGGUUGAUUCCCGCUGAGGCUAUCCGCACUCAUUUUACCUUAUUUCUCUACUGUAAAAGAAAUAUUCUGUCCUGGUCAGCGAGAUUCUUUACCCCAUACUAAAAUCAUCUGCAGCCAUAUUUACCCUAUAUCUCUACUCUAUACCAACCACUACAAUUUUUAUUUCCAAUUUAAUAUUCUCCCUCUCUCGUCCCAUGGCGGGAGAUGGAGCCGUUGGCCACGUGCACGAAAGAGAAGAAGAUAGGGUAGGAGAGAGAGGACGCUGGAUAUGAGGUAAGAGAAGAGCAAAUUUACGGUAGGGAUGACUUUUGAGUUCGCGCGUGCAGGGCUUCAGUCUACUCUAAAUAUUUACGGUACCUUUUCGCGUUUGCGAGUGCGGCCAGCCUGAUGUUAUUUUCCUUUGUUGUGGCUGGCUGGAGUCUUGGUCUUUGUUGGAGAGAAAGAGAGACGGAAAAAAAAUGAACGCUGUCUCUGCUGUUCGCGGCCACGGUUUGUGAUCAGUCUUAGAUCGAGUAUUGUCUUAGUUGCAGAUCUUGGCUUCUUCCGGUGCAGAUCCUGCUUGUUCAGAGGUCUCAAGUCUGAAUAGGGUUGUCAGUUCGGUUUCCCCUAGCCUCGUUCUACUUAAGACAUGUAUGUUUGGUUCUGUAAAGAUACUCGUCUUCUGAAGGGGCGGCGCCAGGG
This 681-nucleotide long non-coding RNA is filed under the name Zea mays. RNAcentral describes it as "long non-coding RNA (ZMAY_LNC004030)". Lineage: Eukaryota; Viridiplantae; Streptophyta; Magnoliopsida; Poales; Poaceae. The record is from RNAcentral.